CCUACGGGUGGCAGCAGUGAGGAAUAUUGGUCAAUGGACGGAAGUCUGAACCAGCCAUGCCGCGUGCAGGAAGACGGCUCUAUGAGUUGUAAACUGCUUUUGUACAAGGGUAAACCUGAAUACGUGUAUUCAGCUGAAAGUACUGUACGAAUAAGGAUCGGCUAACUCCGUGCCAGCAGCCGCGGUAAUACGGAGGAUCCAAGCGUUAUCCGGAUUUAUUGGGUUUAAAGGGUGCGUAGGCGGAUUGAUAAGUUAGAGGUGAAAUGUUCGAGCUUAACCGGGAAAUUGCCUCUAAUACUUGUUGUCGUGAGAGGAGCUGAGGUAGGCGGAAUGUAUGGUGUAGCGGUGAAAUGCUUAGAGAUCAUACAGAACACCGAUUGCGAAGGCAGCUUACCAAUCUAUAUCUGACGUUGAGGCACGAAAGCGUGGGGAGCAAACAGGAUUAGAUACCCGUGUAGUC
This 460-nucleotide ribosomal RNA is filed under the name uncultured bacterium. Its description in RNAcentral is "partial 16S ribosomal RNA". It matches the Rfam family "Bacterial small subunit ribosomal RNA", at positions 338 to 795 of the family's 1533-position model. The record is from RNAcentral.